CAACGUGGGCGGACAGCCGCGGUGAGCAAUCGCUGAGGAAAGUCCGGACUCCGUAGGGCAAUGGUGCUGGGUAACACCCAGGCGGGGCGACCCGAUGGACAGUGCAACAGAGAGCAGACCGCCGAUGGCACAGAACCUUUGGUUCCGUUUACGGAGCUGCGGGCGAUGUGCACAGGCAAGGGUGAAACGGUGGUGUAAGAGACCACCAGCGAUGCGGGUGACUGCAUCGGCUCGGUAAACCCCACCAGGAGCAAGGCCAAGCAGGAACAGGGCUGCCCGUCCGUUAUGUUCCAGGUAGGCCGCAUGAGCUCGUCCAGCAAUGGCGGGCCCAGAUAGAUGGCUGUACGACGACAGAAUCCGGCUUAUAGCCCGCGUUGCAGU
Molecule: RNase P RNA, 381 nt
Filed under: Actinomycetota bacterium
Lineage: Bacteria; Bacillati; Actinomycetota
Description: RNase P RNA component class A
Rfam family: Bacterial RNase P class A
About the family: Ribonuclease P (RNase P) is a ubiquitous endoribonuclease, found in archaea, bacteria and eukarya as well as chloroplasts and mitochondria. Its best characterised activity is the generation of mature 5'-ends of tRNAs by cleaving the 5'-leader elements of precursor-tRNAs.
Source: RNAcentral